This 1321-nucleotide long non-coding RNA is filed under the name Capsicum annuum. RNAcentral describes it as "long non-coding RNA (CANN_LNC008620)". Lineage: Eukaryota; Viridiplantae; Streptophyta; Magnoliopsida; Solanales; Solanaceae. The record is from RNAcentral.
UCUUCUUCCCAAACAAAAUUUUAUCAUCUUUAUAUUUUAGCUUCCUUUGUUAUGAAAAAUUUGUGAGUUCAUUGGCAUCUCUCUAAGACAACAUCUAACGUCUUGGAUUCGGCUUCUGUGGUCAUGUUAUCUUCACUCUCCACAAGUUUUUUCCCAUUGCUUGUUUCACAACCAACAUCAGAUGCAUCAUUCAUCUUAUCAGGAGUUGGAAUGUCUAGGGACCCAAUGUCACUCUUUCAGGAAUUUCUUUUAUACCUUUUCAGAUGAAGAUACACUUGUUUUGCAAUCAGCAUCUGAUGCAUCACUCAUCUCAUCUAGAAUUAAAACAACCAGGGACUUAAUGUCACUCUUUUGGGGCUUUCCUUUUAGACUUUUUGGAUGAAGAUACUGGUAAUUAUUUAUACAUUUUAGAUGGUAGUAAAUUUUUUAUGCAAUUGUGGUCCACCAUGUUUAUUUUAUUUGCAAGAAGCAUCUCUUGAUAGACCAGCAACUCGUGAAUUAGGUAUGGAAGAAGACCCAUAUGAAAAUUAGAGAUGGAAAAGAAGUCUAAGUUGAAACACGGGUAGAGGAUACUUACGUAAGUUCAUAUCUUACUUAAAAUUUAUUUUAUAUCAUUUAUUAUAUACUAAUUUUACUUUUAAUAUAGAAUCAAUACUUUCAAGCAAUUGAAGAGAUCAAAAGGAGUCGACUGGCAGAUGAUCAAGGCAAUUCAAUCAUGCCAUCAGGGGAAGAAACUCUCUCAGGAUGGUUGGAUUUAGUUGGGGCGUGUGUAAGGAAGGGCGUAUGACCUUUGCUCUGAGAAGAACUUUUAACGUCUUUAGUCUGGAUUGGAAGGUAUAGGGAGUUCUGUCAUCAUAUGAGCAAUUUAAGGAGAUUUGACAUGAAGUUCGGGAGCUUGCUAGGAAGUAUGAGGAGGAACAAAAAAGAAGGAUGGAGGAGUGGCAUAGGGCGACACUUGAGUUAGACGUCAAAGAAUUCAAACCUCACAUAAAUACCUGGAUGAUGAUGGUGGAGAGGAUGGAAUUGAGUAUUAGGUGGCAUUGUUGUUUUAGGUUUGAAUUUUGUUAGUUUGGAGUGUUUGAAAGAAUUUGUUUGGUGAUUCUUUGCACACUUUUUGAUACUUGUUUUCACAUUGUUUAAGUUGGAUGAAUAUGUAUGAAGUUUGGUUGCUUAAUUUUAAUGUUUGAAUUAUUUCGGAAAUGUUUUUCUUAUUGUUUUGCUGGUUAAUAUUGGUUGUAUGUUGAUUUUCUAUUUAAAUAUUGAGUUUUAGUGCAGUAAAAAACUAAUAAUAAUACCAGAUUGGCAAGGGACUUUUGUAGCU